CCAGAGUACGAGGUCUGGUCUACAGCAUGAAGUCACACAGUGACAGGAAGGAAUAGCUGAGACUUGGAAAAGUUUCCUUAUGUCAUCCAUCUUCCUGCCUAUGUGCUGUAGAGAAAAGAUCAUCUAUGGGCCUCUAGUAAAACCAAGAUACUCUGAAGGCAUGGACAACUACUGGUGAUUCUUCCAAUGCCGAGCAGGACUAUCCUCCAGCCUCAGAUGCCGAAUUCAUGACCACCAGCUGUCAGAUCCUCCUCCUCUCCAGGAAGCUGAUUGUCAUCUAUCAGCACUUUUUCUCCUCCAAGAUGCUGACCAACAUCUCAGCACCCGUCUGUCUUCUCCAGUAUGCUGACCAACAUCUCAGCACCUACAUAGUGCUAUCAACAUCUCAGCACCUGUCAUCUACAGAAUGCUGACCACCAUCUCAGCACCUGUCAUCUACAGAAUGCUGACCACCAUCUCAGCACACUUUGUAUUCAGAGAGCUGAUCAUCCUCCAUCAGCUCUUCUACUGCUGGACAUCAUCUAUGCCACCAUUCUCCACAAAACUGUCCACCACCUAUCUGUACCAUCUCCAAAAGCUGACCACCAUCUGUCAGCACCCUUCUUCAAAAGAUUUACCAUCAGCUCAGCUUUAUCACGUGUCAUCAUU
Molecule: long non-coding RNA, 648 nt
Organism: Bufo bufo (common toad)
Lineage: Eukaryota; Metazoa; Chordata; Amphibia; Anura; Bufonidae
Exons: 3
Source: RefSeq, a predicted model, not a curated record